AAUGAACGUUGGCGGCGUGGAUUAGGCAUGCAAGUCGUACGGACGAAGGGAGCUUGCUCCCCGAGCUAGUGGCGAAAGGGAUAGUACAAUAUAGAUCAUCUGCCCCCGGGACGUGGAUAUACGAGGGAAACUUCGGGUAAUACACGAUAAUCUCUACGGAGCAAAGGUGUGAUUCCGCCUGGGGAUGAGUCUAUAGCCUAUUAGCUUGUUGGCGGGGUAACGGCCCACCAAGGCUAUGAUGGGUACCAGGCGUGAGAGCGUGACCCCGAUCACUGGGACUGAGACACUGCCCAGACACCUACGGGUGGCUGCAGUCGAGAAUCUUCGGCAAUGGACGAAAGUCUGACCGAGCGACGCCGCGUGAGCGAUGAAGGCCUUCGGGUUGUAAAGCUCUGUAAUAGAGGAGGAAAUGCAUGGGGGCAAUCCCUCAUGCUUGACCUAGUCUAAAAGUAAGGACGGGCUAAGUUCGUGCCAGCAGCCGCGGUAAUAC
RNAcentral lists this ribosomal RNA (490 nucleotides) under uncultured bacterium. RNAcentral describes it as "bacterial SSU rRNA". It matches the Rfam family "Bacterial small subunit ribosomal RNA", at positions 29 to 526 of the family's 1533-position model. The record is from RNAcentral.